CCCGCCAGCCUCCGGUCGCCGGGCGACGAGCGCGCCGCCUCCUUCCGGUGGACUCGCCGCCCGAUGGCGAGCCCACCGGCGGUCGCACGCCAGCAGGGCAACGCCGGCGGGUUGGGGUUCCGCCGAACCCAACCCGUCGGCUCUUAGGAGCAGCGGGCGGCGAUCAUGCUGCCGGACGAAGUGCCGCCCGACGGCGCCACCGGGAUGGGCCCGGUGCCGGACGAAACGCCGCCCGACGGCGUCACCCGGGCGGUCGAACCACCCGCACUGACUCCGGUGGCACGUGCUCAGACUGAGACUCGUGCUGAGAAUGGGACUCGUGCUGCUGGGACUCGUCGGGCUGCUGGGACUGCAAGGACUGAUCGGAAGAAGAUCCCACAGUUGUGUGCUGAAACUCAACAUCUCUGAAUCAUUUUCCUCGCGGCAUGUUGUUACCUAGUAUGCACAAAAAGAAGCAAUAUUAGUUAAAUAAUAAAUAAAAUCUAAAUAUUGAUUGCGGUGCUCACCAAUUCUUUGGUAAGAUUGUUUCUGAUGCUGAGCUGCUCGAUACACUACCCAUUGUUUACUCAUGAUAUGUUAACAAUUCAUGCAACUCUGAAUCACAACUCAUUCUUGCAUAAGAGCUUUUAUUUCUCAGAAAGAAUGGUUGGAAACAGAUGUUAUAGAUGCUAAAAGGAAUGAAAGAUUUUAUUAAUGUUUCGCCUUCUCCUUCAUAUUGACCUUUGUGCUAGUAUUCUUGUUAAUGCUAUAAUUUUUUUAAAGCAAAUUAGCAAGUAUAAAUCUUUCUAAAUGAUUUUCUCAAAAAUCAUUACCUAAUGAAACAGAAGAAACAUAUCAGUAAUCACAUAACUGUCAAAAUUGUCACGAGAGAGAAAGAGAGAUGUAAUUCAUAAGUGCGGGAAUAAUGUAUACCUGUUUACAAGUAAGGCAAGUAUCACUCCUUUCAUCCACUGAAGAAUACACUGUAUGUGCUGAUCUUUAUUGUUUCUGUUCCUAAAAGUGAGCAUUCAGAAUAGGGGACAAAGCAAGUCUCCAAUAUACAACUAAAGAUGAGGCAUGCUGUAGGUUUC
Phoenix dactylifera (date palm) is the source of this 1070-nucleotide non-coding RNA. The record is from RefSeq and is a predicted model, not a curated record. Lineage: Eukaryota; Viridiplantae; Streptophyta; Magnoliopsida; Arecales; Arecaceae.